Drosophila suzukii is the source of this 2469-nucleotide non-coding RNA. The record is from RefSeq and is a predicted model, not a curated record. NCBI's taxonomy places the organism in Eukaryota, Metazoa, Arthropoda, Insecta, Diptera, Drosophilidae.
UGAUGUGAAUUUAAAGUCUUUUUCAUCUAAACAUGAGCAAUUUUCAGCCGCCAGACCAUAUAAGAGUGUUCCUUUUAUUGUGGGCCUUAUUUAAAACUCGCCCUUCAAAUUCACCCAUGCUCUGCAGUCUAGGGAGAUUUUUUUUUUGGACGUCAAGCGCAUAAUUGAUUUUUAUGUACAUUAUAUCCAACUUUUUAUGUACUUACAAAUAUUAAAAAAAAAAAAGCGACUUGAUAGGCGCCUAAAACGGGACCUACUUGCAUUCAUGCAAAUGACUUUUUAACAGUUAUGGGGUCAUUGCGGCUUUCGUACUGCGUGCUAUUCUUUUGUGUUCUUGUUUUAGGUAACUACUAAUCAUUAUUUUAAAGAAUUCAACGAUUCAACUUAACUUAUCUUUUGCAUUGCCUUUAUAAAUUAGCUUUUUAAAUGUCCUUCUAUCUGUAUCAUUACAGCGCGCUAAAUGACCCAUUGGGAACACUAUUUUAUGCAUUAUUUUACCAAUUCACUUAGUAGUACUUAUUCUUAAUACAACAAAACGAAAAACAGCCAACAAAUCUGAGCAAAUGAAGUUUUAUACCCAAAAACCGUUAAUAGUGCUAUUUUUGUUGCCGCAUAAUUAUGCUACUUUUUUCAUAAAUCUAUCGAAGUUUUAAAAACCAUUCGCAUUACGCCCACAACCAUUUUUACUUUAGUUAAACGAUAUGUAAACCUACUUACCCUUACACACAGAAGAAAAAUAUUGCAAAAAAUGACCAUUUUGUACACAAAUAAAAAUUGCCCACACUUUGGUGCUAUUUUUGUUGCCGCAACUGUACCUAUAUAUAUUUAUAUACACAUACUUUAUUCAUGCAUUUACUUACUAGUGUUGUUGUUGUUGUUACUAAGCUAUCAGCCCAAAACAAAUGCAGCUAAUACUCAAUAAUCAGUAGAGAGAGCCAAAGCCAGAGCCCGAGAGAGAGAGACGUCAAAAAAAAAUUUAUAUUCUUUAUACCUAUAUAUUAUACAUGCAUUCAUGCAUUUUUUUACUUUAAUCACAAUUCUGUAAAACUAGUCUUUAAGCAUUCACCCACAGGGAAAGUAUAUAAUCGCAUAAUAAAAAUUAAUAAUAAAUACACAAAAUAAAAAUAAUUAUGGUUUUGAUAUUAUUAUUUGUACUUGGAAUCCUCGUUGGAAUAGCGUCAGUAAAAAGCGAAUAUGAUAUCAAAAAAAUUCCCUACCAAACGGAAAUUAAAUACUCUAGUUUUGAUCUCGUUGUAAACGAAACAUUGACUGUCAAAGUAAAUUUAAUUUUUGAACUCAAUACCGCAUUUGUGGAAGUGAUUCGAGAAAGCAGCAGCAGCAGCAGCAACAACAACAAAAAUCAAAAUGAUAUAAGAUUUAAACGAGAUUUGGUACUAUUCGAACAUAUGCCUCUUACUUUCCCCACGAUCGAUGAGGUAGUUGAAAAUUUCCGCCGAGAGUUAAUUAGAAAAGAAGAGGAUAUUGGUGGAAUAAUUGACUCACCCGCUGUAAUUUGUAGAUAUUUCAAAUUAAAAUACUUGAGAAGUAUUGUCAAUAUUCGAUGCAAUUAUCAUAGCGAUUUCGAAAAUAAAACAUUACGAAUUUUUUGUCAUCACUAUAAUGCUGUAAGCAAUACCAAUGAGCGAAACCUGAUAAAGAAAAAUUAUUUUUUUGAACGAGACUUUACCAACGAUGAGGGAGAUGAUUAUUACGAUAAAGCCAACCCCACCAACCUUCAGUUAGAGAGACACAUCGGAACGUAUAACAUCAAUGAUUAUCAACAGGUUUUGCAUAUGAAUAUUCAAUAAUAACAACACAAAAAAAAAAAAAAUAAUGACAUUUACAAAAAAAAUUAUUGAUUUUAUUCAAAAUUAUCUACACAUUCUGUCGCCCGAGGAUAAAGAAACUCUCCAAAGUAUACAUAUGCGAUUAGAACAUAUUAAAAAUUUAAAUAUUACCUUUAAUCAAAUGGAAACGAAUAAAGAGAUGAGUACAACUUAUGCUGCUGCUGCUGAUGAUGUAGUAGAUUGUGAAAAAGAACAACAUUUCAAGUACAUACAACAAAAAUUGGUUGAUGAACAUGACGCAUUACAAAUUAUGACUUCCUAUCAAAUUUUAUCAUCAUCAUCAUCGUCAACAUCUAGUAUAUCCGAACAAUAAGUGGGAGGCUUCCUGUGUUGUUUGUGUGUGUGUGUGUGUGUGUAUUAUAGAGCGAGAGAUUGUAAAAAGGAAAACAAAGAAAAUGGGAUGGAAAAUUAAGGCAAGAUAGAAUGUGAUAUAUAGUAUAUAGAUUCAGCUAUAAAAUUGAGUGUAUGUUGGUCAGUAGAUUUAGUAUGUUGAAAAUUAUUCUCGAGUCUCUCUCUCAAGCAUUUCGAACAAAAAAAAAUGCAUUUUCGCGUAUUCCUAUUACUGUUAGUAUGCGCAGUCGCUAAAAUCACUUCAAAUCAAACAACAACAACAACAACAACA